CACCAAAGGAGUCAGAAAAUCUGGAGAAACCCCUCUACAAAACUGGAUAAGAUCAUACACUAAUGUUGGAUGGCCAUUAUCUUAGAGCCCUCAGACAUGAAUCACUGUCUGUGAAUUCAGUUCAACACCUAACAGGUUAAAACUACCAUCGCAGUAACAAACAUGAUUCAGAAACUCUGAAGACUUCUGUGCCCGGGCCCGUUGGGGUUCAGCUAAGUAAAGUGGAAAAUUGUCCCGUGCUCUGAUGAUUCAUAGACACUGUAUCCUCCUCUCCAGAGAAAAAGGGACAACCCAACUUUUCUGCACGUAGUUCAAAAGCCUGAAUCAAGAAAGGGGCAUCACACUUCCAAAUUCCCAGAUUAGUCUCUUUUUAUUCCCAAAAGUGGUCUUCUAGGUCAGUGGUUCUGAAGUCCAGUCCUCGAGGCCCACUUUGGAUGUUUCCCUGCUCCAACACACCUGAUUCAAAUGAUCAGCUCGUUAUUAAGCCAUUACAGAGCUUGAUAACGAGCUGAUCAUUUGAAUCAGGUGUGUUGGAGCAGGGAAACAUCAAAAACAUGCAGGACAGUGGGCCUCGAGGACUGGACUUGAGAACCACUGCUUUAGACUAAUGAACAGUUUUCAGAAAUCACUUUGUUACAAGCCAAAACUGAAUGCUUAUACUUGAAUUUUAUUAGAUUUGUUCAAAAUGUACACAGUAUUUACAAAAUGGCAGUUUUUCAUCUCAGAUCUGUAGAGUGAGGAUGAGAAUAGGAUGGAGGAAUUGCAGAUAAACCUUCAGCUUUAGUUGUUAGUGGGCUGCAACACAAACUAUUAAAGCUUAGCAGAGGAAACACAAUACUUACUAGUGAUUGUGACUACUUGCACAGGCGGCAAACAGUCACAAACAUAUUUAACAUCAAACAAAAAGAGAAGAAUGAGAAGAGAAGUGAUACUUGUUAGAGAUUUGAGAGGGAGGAGAGGAGAGCAUGCAGGCAGGUGUAAUGUGGGAAAGUGAGGAAAGACAAAAGAUGAAGACGAUUCAAAAAACAAAACAGAAACAAAGACGCAGCAGGAAAUGAGAGGGGUUGAAGAGCGAGGCCUUGGAGCUGUUCUAGUGUCAAAUAGGAAGGAGUUACAAAGACUGAUGGAGGGAUACAGUAACAUGGGAGCAAAACAAUUCUGAAAAUAAAUCAGGCAUUGAAAGGGGAAAAAUACAAAUGCAUCUAAAAUAAAAGUGUUUUGUUAGUUGUCUGGAGCGACAUUUCUACUACAAAAAUAAAUCUGACAUUCUGGGCUCAUUUAAUGCUUAAAACCUGAGACAUCGAAUAUAAAGAAGCAUCAGUGAAAAUCAUCACAUUUGAAGAGGCUAAAGAGUCUUUUCUUGGUGUGGGCACAUACACCAGCAAUUUAAAAAAUAAACUUUGCCUUAAAAAAAAAAAAAAAAAAAAGACUGGAUAUGAACUGUAUAUUAGGAAUAUGAAGAUGAGCUCUCAUGUUCUGUAUGUCCAGACACAUUUUCAAGUGAUAAGGGAUCACACUUAUUACAAGGUGUUCGUAUGAGAUCUGGGAAACUAGGAUACCGUCAAGUGAUGGCCUUCAUUAGCAUUAUUAAAAAAAAUGCAAAACUAACCCUUGGUGUCUCAAUAAAACUUAAUUAAAUGCAUCUGGACAAACAGAAGAUGACGUGUUAAUUUAAUCAAUCUUUCAACAUUGUAUUCAAUACAACAGGUAUCAGGAGACACAGAAAAAAACUCUUGAAAUAUUUGGGUUAGCAGCAAAAUCAGAUUAGCAGCAGAUCAACACUUUGCACAUUUCAUUGGAUAAAACUCCCAUGUAUUUUAUCAGCUGUAUGGCUUCAACUUCAGUGGGUCAAACCAAGACUUGGAUUGCUCACAAUUCACUCUCCUUGGUUGGCUUCUGGAGGUGGUUGUUAGCCCACUUAUCACUCCUGUUUGCUCCUGCAAUGCAGCAGUACAACACGCUGAAGAAUGAGAGGUCUGAAGGUGUAAGAGAAGGAAGGUGUGGGGAACUGAGGGGGGGAGGAAUCAGCAAUAAGGACAGGGGGUGAGGUAAAUGAAAGUGGGAAGAAAGAAAACAUGUUCAGAUCAUUGUCAUUACAAGGUUUGGCUGAAAUAUCAACAAUGAGCAUUUCGGAAAAAACAAAUCUUAGAUCAAGGUUUACAAAAGCGUUUUGUCAGCUUGUAGGAGCCAUCUACUUUCCUUGAUGGCAUUGAUACUGAAUUGGAUCUCUGAGACCUACUUUUUAUCAAGUCCGAGUCUCCACGUAUUGUGUUGAAGCUUAACAUGAAACCAACAGGCGAGUGACUCCAUUGACUUUGCCUGACAAGACAAUUUUCAUGACAAAACUGUACAUUGUAGUAGAAAUUUAGAUUCAGGCAGACACUAGGUUCAAAUGCCUUUCCUGAAAUAUUUAGGCUUUACGAGGAGAAAUAAUGAAACUGACUACUUUCAACCUCACCACUACAUCCUGCAAUUC
Molecule: long non-coding RNA, 2476 nt
Filed under: Xyrichtys novacula (pearly razorfish)
Lineage: Eukaryota; Metazoa; Chordata; Actinopteri; Labriformes; Labridae
Source: RNAcentral